Long non-coding RNA from Mirounga angustirostris (Northern elephant seal), 1969 nucleotides. RefSeq lists it as uncharacterized. The transcript is spliced from 4 exons. Lineage: Eukaryota; Metazoa; Chordata; Mammalia; Carnivora; Phocidae. The record is from RefSeq and is a predicted model, not a curated record.
GAGGCCUUUCCUUUAAGGGUGUAGGAGUGCAGUUGCUGGUGGCAGUUUUGAGAGGAGCCUGUCUAAAAAUGAAACCAGCGCAGGCGCUCCUGAAUGGCCGCGAGGAGAGCAGUGUCCUUGCCCGUCUGCUGUGAGGGGACCGCGGUCUCACAGGCGUCGCGAUGCGGCCAUCAGCCCACAUCCCAUCAGCCAGUGAGCCCCACACACGGGGCAGACCCCGUGCCCUGAAGUGUCUCCUCGCCGGAGAUUCCCUGCAAAUCCCCCGAGUGAGCAGCGCCCCGGAAGAAUGGAGCUCCUCGUCCCUGCCUGCAGGAUGGGAGAGGACUCCGUGUGCUGUGUCCCCUGUGUGCCCGCCAGACCCACCUCACCACCUCCCCUGCUCUGUGCCCAGAGACCCUGCAGGGGUCCUGCUCCUCUGCUGGGAAGAUCUCAUGUGGUCAAGCUAAGGUACUUUGAAUGAUGUUGGUGCCAGGGGUACUUUCUUCCCAGGGGUGUUUGGACUCAACAGGAAGCCCAUGACUAGGGAAGAUGAUCAUACAGUUCACUGAUCUCAAAUCCCUGCCAUCAGAUGGAUGAGGACAAUGACACUCGAAGAUGGGACACCUCAUAAAUAUGUGUAACCCCAACCCCCAAAUCCCACCUCUAGGAAUUUGACCCUUGGAAACUUACAGAUGUACAUGGAGAGCUUUUUCAUGUAGGAUGUGCUUAUGAUAGCUAACACUGGAUAUAAUCACAUGAUAUAAUCAUGUGUCGCCACAGGAAUUGGGUAACAUUAUGUAUGGUUCAUCAAUUCAGUGGGAAAGUAGUGGCAAUGAUCCAACAACUGAGAAUCAUUGUGUAGAACAUAUGAAAGGCAAGGGAAAAUUUUGUCACAUGGAAGUAAUAUAAUCAGAAAAUUCUAGAACAGAGUGUGUAGUAUGCCCUCCCUUUUGUAGGAAAAAUACAAACAUAUAAACACAUGUUUGACAGAAGUUAUUUUUGGUGGUGGCAUUAUGAGUGGUUUUUCUCUCUUCCUUUUUAUUUAUCUAUACUAUCUAUAAUGAACAUGUAUAAUUUUUCUGAGAGAAAGAAAAUAUUCUUAACAUGAGGGUUAGCAUUGUGUUGCCCACAGGACUGGAUGAUAUCUAAGGACAAGGAGAUCAUGACCUUUUGUGGCUUUAAAUAUUGGACAUUAACGGUGUCUAAACAAGAGCUGAAAUCACUGGCAGAAGGUCAGGAUUUCUUUUGCCUUUGAGAUCCUUGAGAGUUAGCUGUUGAUUGAAAAGGUCUUUGAUUUUGGCAGUCCAGUUAUGCCUUCCUGAGCUAAUAAGGACAUCCUCUUGAUUGAGUGCAUGUGAAGCUUCCCCAUCACACUACAUCAGUCAGCAAUUGCUGUGUAACAAACAACCACAAAUCUGAGUGACAUACAAUAAGAAGCCUGUGUCUCUCAUACAUUUGCAGGUUAGCUGGGAAGUUCUAAGCUGCAGGUUUGGGCUAUAAGCAGCAUCUUCCCAUGACAAAGGCAGAGGCACCCCUGCCCACAUUUCACAGGAUGAAAGAAGUGACGGGCCAAGUCCAAUGUCAAGAGGUCCGGAGGUUCACUUUGUCUUUUGUGAGAGAAAACCAGAGUCACGUGGCGAGGUGCCUGGGUACAGGGAGAGGUAACGAGUAGAACCCACCAUCUGGCAUCCACGAAUGGUUGCUUUGGUCAGGUCAUGCUGUGAGUUGGCUGAACACACUGUGGACAUGUUUAAAAUAACAUUAUUCCUCCACUGAUUAAUUCUUUUCAAAGUAUAAUACGAAUGGAAGGAGAUUAAAGUUACUGUAAUUCCAUUACCUACAGAUGGCCUUUUAAGAUUUUGCUGCAUUUCCUUGAAGGAUACACAUCCGUCUGCACACUCAAAUAAACAUCAGCAUAUAUUUAUAUAACAAAAGUAGCAUCACAUUUUAUUUGUUUUUUACCCUGCCUUUUUUUUUUCAACCUAAUCUC